AUGCAAAGUAAACUUGAAGGACACACACAAGAAGCAGAAAAUCAAGGAGCCAUGUACGCGACCAAGCCGCUCUCUCUCUUCAUGAGCCACCCGGAGGCGGCUUCCCGGCCGCCGCCCGACGGCCGGAACUCGGGCUACCUCGUCGUCAAGGGCAACGACGACGGGGACGACGACGAGACGUGCUGCUGGGGGCAGUGCGGCGGGACGCGCGUGCGCGACCUCCCGUUCCCGCAGGACCGCGUGCUCACGCUCCGGUACACGGAACACCACGGGCAGAGCAGCACCACCUACACCGACUCCGUCGUCUUCGUGCCCGUCCCCGACCAGCCCGUCGCUUCCAACCGCUACUACGCCGUCGUCGCCUCGGGCAAGCGCAAGGGGCUCGUCCGGACCUGCUCCCGCGAGGAGGACAUGACCCCGUGCUGCUUCUGCCGCUGCAUCAACGACGUCAAGCCGCAGCCGUUCGACCCGGCCGACGUCUACCAGCAGAUCGAGAUCGUCCAGCGCCGCCGGGGCCGGUUCACGGCCAAGGCCGUCGCCGCCGACGGCUACCCAAACUACCUCUACCGCAAGAAGUAUUGGCGCGUGUACGCCUCCAAGCCCAAGAACCGGCUCGACCUCGGCGACGCGCUGGGCCUCGACGUGGCGCACCGCUCGCGCCAGCUCGCCGACGCGAACCUCCUCGACGUCUCCCCCGCGGCGACGGCGGUGUCAACGGCUGUCGGGAAAUGGUACUGCCCGUUCUAUCUCAUCAAAGAAGACGGCGUCUCCCCGUCCGAGCAGAUGGACCGCGCCGCCUUCUACGAGGUGGCGCUCGAGCAGCGCUGGGAGCCGGUCCACGACACCCACGGCGGCUCUAAGCUGUACAGCAGGAAGGUGCUCAUCGGCGGGAGCCUGGAGGCGACGCAGGAGGUGUCCAGCGGCGCCCCGCGGCACGGUGACGGGUACGUGUGGUUCAGAGCCGCGGCCGGGCAGAGCGUGGGGGUGUGCGCGAGCGUGUGGGAGAGGAUGCGGUGGGAGGAGUACAGGGGCGGGUGGGUCGACGAGGAGGAGGAGGCCGAGAAGGUGGCCGGCCGGUCGGUGCUGGUGGAGAGGUUCGUCGUCAAAAGGAUGGACAGGACCGUCGUGGUGGCCUUUGACUUUGUGCACCUCAACAAGGUCAGGGGGAAGCAGGCGUGA
RNAcentral lists this ribosomal RNA (1179 nucleotides) under Triticum aestivum (bread wheat). RNAcentral describes it as "partial small subunit ribosomal RNA". Lineage: Eukaryota; Viridiplantae; Streptophyta; Magnoliopsida; Poales; Poaceae. The record is from RNAcentral.